GGGUUCCAAUAGCUAAAUGUAGUGUUAAUAAGUGGGGGUUGGUUGGAAGAGGUAGGUCACUGGGGGUGUGACCUAGUAGAGUGGAUCUGCCUCCCCAUUUUCUCCUCUUCACUCUCUGCUACCUGUUUGUCAUGCCCUGAGCAGCUCUCCUCUGCUGUGCCCCUCUGCCCACUAUGGACUGAAACAUGAACCAAAACAAACCUCUCCUCCCUUAAAUUUACUGGGGAUUGAACCCAGGGCCUUGUGCAUGUGAGCUAUGGGGAUCAAAUUCAAGGUCGUACAAAUAUCAAGGAAAUGUUUUACCAAAUUCUGACAGAAAAUUAUUCUGAAUUCAGAAUUUAUACCUCAUGAAGUAUCACUUAAAUAUUCUGAAUCCAGGAUUCCAUACCCAGUUCAUCCACAAUGAAGUGAGAGCAACAUUAACAUGUAUUCACACAUGCAAAGAUUCGAAAAGUUUGCCAUCCAGGAAUGCUUUCUGCAAGAGACACAUGAAGAUCCACCAAGAGAAGGUAAAGAAGGAGGAAGAAGAGAGGGGAAAGAGGAAGACAUGGGCUACAAGCAACAUGGUUAGCAAGAAACCAAUAAAACUGCAAAAUAACUGGAGAAAGUAUGUUUUGAAGGUUGUGUGUUGGCUGAGGUCGCUGAUAAUAAGGGGUCUUCGCUGUCAGCUGGCUUUUAUCAAUGAGGAUCUGGAGCUCAGCCUUCACAGCCUUUGGGCCUCCUCAACAGUGGUGCUGGCCCUGCUGAUUUGCUUCUGAGGUCUGGCUGCUUUCUCGUCAGGGCAGUGAGUGGCUGUGAAGCUGCUCAGCUGAUCCUGGGUCCGGAAGUGGGCUCCAGUGGACUUCCUGUCAGGGUUUGUGGAACAAACAGACCAGCAGCUGAGGCUUCCUCUGAGGCAGAUGACUGGGGGGGGGGAGCGGGAGGGAGGCAAACAGAGAGAGGUCGAGACAGAGACAGACAGAGAGAGAACCCAAACUGUUUCACUUGGUGUUGUCCCCACCCCAUCAUUUUAGGUC
Molecule: long non-coding RNA, 1016 nt
Organism: Heterocephalus glaber (naked mole-rat)
Lineage: Eukaryota; Metazoa; Chordata; Mammalia; Rodentia; Bathyergidae
Source: Ensembl